UGGGGAAUAUUGGACAAUGGGCGCAAGCCUGAUCCAGCCAUGCCGCGUGAGUGAUGAAGGCCCUAGGGUUGUAAAGCUCUUUCACCGGUGAAGAUAAUGACGGUAACCGGAGAAGAAGCCCCGGCUAACUUCGUGCCAGCAGCCGCGGUAAUACGAAGGGGGCUAGCGUUGUUCGGAUUUACUGGGCGUAAAGCGCACGUAGGCGGACUUUUAAGUCAGGGGUGAAAUCCCGGGGCUCAACCCCGGAACUGCCUUUGAUACUGGAAGUCUUGAGUAUGGUAGAGGUGAGUGGAAUUCCGAGUGUAGAGGUGAAAUUCGUAGAUAUUCGGAGGAACACCAGUGGCGAAGGCGGCUUACUGGACCAUUACUGACGCUGAGGUGCGAAAGCGUGGGGAGCAAACAGG
Molecule: ribosomal RNA, 404 nt
Filed under: Actinomycetes bacterium
Lineage: Bacteria; Bacillati; Actinomycetota; Actinomycetes
Also listed under: 1 other name
Description: Actinobacteria bacterium partial 16S ribosomal RNA
Rfam family: Bacterial small subunit ribosomal RNA
Source: RNAcentral